UGUUGUCUGUGCAGAAGGAAGGGUCAGGUGGCUGUGUGAGGGACAGUAAGGGUUAGGCAGUUGUGCAAAGGACAGGAAAGAGUCAACUGAAGAAACAGAAAAGGAGUCAGUGUUGCGAGAAGCUGCCUGUGGGAACUCACAGAGAGAAGAAGAGAAGAAACAGACCUGGAGUUCAAGAAUUCAAGGAAACAUGUUUGUGUCUGUUUAUAAAAAUUCAGUCUCUCUGCCUGACGUUAAAUGAAAAAGGCAACAGGCAGUGCCCGUACCAUAAAUCCAUGAAGUGUCAUGGCUGGGGUGCAGGUGUGUCCCCAUCAUGGCCAAGGAAUGACUUUGGCACAGGCAGCUGACCUGGGGAGCAAAAAUGAAAAUGUAGCAUGAGAGGCUUCAGCACAUGCUAACAACCAAGGAAUGCGAAAAAGAGCACGUUGGAUUUACUUCAUACUGUUGUUUCUAUAGCAAUGGAAGAGGGCUUCUCACUUGCUCCUCAGUGCAGCUGAAGCAUCCCCACUGGUGCUGAUGGCAUGUGAGGAGCUCACCAUGAGCUCAGUGCCUUUGGGUGAGGUUCUGGAUCCUGAAUUUGCAUUGCUGCAGCACUCACUCAAGCUCCUCCAGCUCUCAGGCACUGUCUGCCUCCCCUCCUCUCCCUCCCUGCUUG
Passer montanus (Eurasian tree sparrow) is the source of this 655-nucleotide long non-coding RNA. RefSeq lists it as uncharacterized. The transcript is spliced from 4 exons. Lineage: Eukaryota; Metazoa; Chordata; Aves; Passeriformes; Passeridae. The record is from RefSeq and is a predicted model, not a curated record.